This 417-nucleotide long non-coding RNA is filed under the name Homo sapiens (human). Its description in RNAcentral is "HSALNT0394933". Lineage: Eukaryota; Metazoa; Chordata; Mammalia; Primates; Hominidae. The record is from RNAcentral.
CACUGUCAACUAGGCAGUCUGCUGUUGACCAACAUGUCCUUCUGAGAGUAUACAUCAUCUACACUGGGAGGCCGAGGCGGGCGGAUCACGAGGUCAGGAGAUUGAGACCUUCCUGGCUAACACAGUGAAACCCCGUCUCUACUAAAAAUACAAAAAGAAAUUAACCGGCGUGGUGGUGGGCACCUGUAGUCCCAGCUGCUCGGGAGGCUGAGGCAGGAGAAUGGCAUGAACCCAGGAGGCGGAGCUUGCAGUGAGCCGAGAUAGCGCCACUGCACUCCAGCCUGGGCGAUAGAGCAAGACUCAGUCUCAAAAAAACAAACAAACAAACAAAAAAACAAACAAAAGAGUAUACAUAAUCUAGUUCAAUCUUCUUUUAAUACUAAUUGUAUUUAAACCUCUUAAGUGUAAUUAGCAGGA